CCAUCCUCAUAUGCUACAUGAUCUUACAUCUAAGAGAGAGCAAAUUGUGUGCCAGUGAUGAUAUAUUGUUGAAGUGUACAAACAUAUGUUCCAGGUGGUUGUUGUUGAUGAUAGUUUUUUUGAAACACGGUCCCUUAGGGUCCGAUUCAUUAAAAAGGAUAGAAGAGAGUUGCCCAGUUAAUUGUUGCUGAUGAUAGUUGUGAAGCCUAUCAUCACCGAAAGCAUAUACACAUCUAAGGUUCUUUCUCUUCUUUCACAUGCUAAGAUGUUGUUUGUUGUGAUUUGAUAUAUAGUGUUUGCGUAGUGAUAUGCAAGGCAAACCACUUAUGCAGUGAACCAACAAAUUAUAGAGUUGACGGGGCUGAUGUGAAUUAUACUUUAUCUCUGUUUUUUAGCAAGGCUACUUUUAUAUGUAGAUCUAGAGCCCUCAUGUAUAGGUGACAAAGAUCUAUGAAAAAAGAUGGAUAUAAAGUAUAUCCAUUUGUGUGUCAAUUUCAGGAUCUAUGUGUGUGUGUGUGUGUGNNNNNNNNNGUGUGUGUGUGUGUGUAGGUCUUGACUAUCUCAUGGAUAAAGUAUCUCCAUUUUUUUUGUUCCAUUCAUUCAAAUUUUAGCAUAAUUUUCGGUUUAGGUCAAGAGACCAUGCGAAAUCCCUCCUUGUAACUGGCUAAAAUUUCAAAGGUUUUCACAAGAAACUAGAGCUGCACUAAUAUCUUGGGGUAAAGUAUGUAAACCAAAAGAGCAUGGAGGUCUGGGCAUAUUAAGUAUCCAUACUCAUAAUAAAGGUUUGCUCAUGAAAUUCCUGCAGAAAUUUUUCAACAAAGAUUAGGCACCAUGAGUCCAGAUCAUUUGGGAAACCUAUUAUCAGGAUUCUUUACCAGGUUUGAGAUUGGUAGGCUCAUUCUGGUGGAAGAACG
This 914-nucleotide long non-coding RNA is filed under the name Hordeum vulgare. RNAcentral describes it as "long non-coding RNA (HVUL_LNC000184)". Lineage: Eukaryota; Viridiplantae; Streptophyta; Magnoliopsida; Poales; Poaceae. The record is from RNAcentral.